UACGUAGGGUGCAAGCGUUAUCCGGAAUCAUUGGGCGUAAAGAGCUCGUAGGCGGUUCAACAAGUCGGCUGUGAAAGACCGAGGCUCAACCUCGGAAUUGCAGUCGAUACUGUUGUGACUCGAGUCCGGUAGAGGAGAAUGGGAUUCCCGGUGUAGCGGUGAAAUGCGCAGAUAUCGGGAGGAACACCAGUAGCGAAGGCGGUUCUCUGGGCCGGCACGGGCGCUGAGGAGCGAAAGCGUGGGUAGCAAACAGG
RNAcentral lists this unclassified non-coding RNA (254 nucleotides) under uncultured Acidimicrobiia bacterium. RNAcentral describes it as "contains 16S-23S intergenic spacer region". It matches the Rfam family "Bacterial small subunit ribosomal RNA", at positions 524 to 776 of the family's 1533-position model. Lineage: Bacteria; Bacillati; Actinomycetota; Acidimicrobiia. The record is from RNAcentral.